Molecule: RNA transcript, 3086 nt
Organism: Zingiber officinale
Lineage: Eukaryota; Viridiplantae; Streptophyta; Magnoliopsida; Zingiberales; Zingiberaceae
Gene name: ACT domain-containing protein ACR8-like
Exons: 5
Source: RefSeq, a predicted model, not a curated record
AAGAGAUAAAAUGCACAUAAAGUACGCGUGGUAUGUAUGGAAUGGUUCGUUUAGUAGUUGGCUUGGGGAAGAAGCAAAGCAAGAGACGAAGCGAGGUUGUUAACCGAGUAGGAACGGUUAGGUGGACCCCCGUCCCAGUGCGGUCACCUCUUCGUCUUGUUUAUCCUUUCUCAAACCAAACGAACUACCUACCAAGUUAGAGCCCGGCAGAGAGGAGAGAGGAGAGAGGAGAGAGAUUUCUGUUUUCUUCUGUUACGAGGUCUCUGGGGAUUAAGUAGGCAGUUGGAGGGGAGUUCGGUGGAGAAGGAGAAGGAGAAGGAGAAGGAGAGCGGAGAUGGAGCUACGCGAUGAGUACCAGAAGCUGGUUCAUGUAAUGAUGAACACUCCGAGGGUGGCGAUCGACAAUGCGGUGUCGCCGACGGCGACGGUGGUGAAGGUAAACAGCGCCCGGAAGCGGGGAAUGCUUCUGGAGGCCGUGCAGGUGCUAACGGACCUCGACCUUAGCAUCCAGAAGGGCUAUAUCUCCUCCGACGGCUGCUGGUUCAUGGACGUUUUCCACGUCACGGACGAGAGCGGACACAAACUCCUCGACCCCGAGCUACUCUCCCGUAUUGAGCGAACCCUCGGCGGGGAGACCUUAUUGGCGACGGAUGGAGCAGAUUGUCAGUACGGCUCCGGUUUGGCGGGCCUGACGGCGAUGGAACUCACCGGCACCGACCGCCCUGGCCUCCUGUCGGAGGUAUUCGCCGUGCUCCGGGACUUGGAGUGCAACGUGGUGGAGGCUAAGGUGUGGACUCACAACGCAAGGAUUGCCUCCCUUAUCUUCGUGAAGGACCUCCACUCAGGAUCCCCGAUAGAGGACGGCCACCGCGUUCACCGGAUUGAAUCCCGACUCCGCCACGUUCUGCGCGGCGACCACGACGUCCGCAGCGCUAAGACCACCGUCUCCUCCCCCACCCUAACCCACUCUGACCGCCGCCUUCACCAACUCAUGUUCGCGGACCGCGACUACGAGCGCGUAUCCAGUACCGGCUACCAAGCAACCUGCGCUUCCUCGCAGUCAAAGCCGUCAGUCUCUGUUCAAAACUGUGAAGAACGCGGCUACUCAGUGGUCAAUGUUCAAUGCUGCGACCGCCCCAAGCUCCUGUUCGACGUUGUCUGCACGAUCACCGACAUGGAUUAUGUCGUCUUCCACGGCACUCUCGGCGUCGACUCCGAUCGAGCCUAUCAGGAAUUCUACAUUCGUCACAUAGACGGCGGUCCAAUAAGCUCCGAAGCUGAGCGGCUACGAGUAAUCCAAUGCGUCCAAGCUGGCAUCGAGCGCAGAGCCUCCGAGAUCUCCGCCCAAAUCAAACAGGGAGUCUGGCUAGCCCUGUCCAUGCCGGACAGGCGGGGCUUGCUCGCCGAAGUAACUCGCAUCUUCCGCGAGAACGGGCUCUCCGUAAGGCGGGCGGAGAUCACGACUAGGGACGGCGAGGCGAAGAACGAAUUCUGCGUCACCGACACCGGCGGGCAGCUGCCGGACUGCUGCGCCAUCCACGCCGUCAUCGAGAAGAUCGGCGAAGAGCACCUCACAUUGAACGAGCAAAAGGCGCCGUGGUCGUGCGGCCGGCAGCCACCAGCGGCCGAGGCGGUCGGUGCUUUCAAUUUAGGGAACCUCGUGAAGAGGAAUCUCUACUACCUCGGCCUGGUCAGAUCAUGUUCUUAGCCCUGCGAGGAAGCACCGUCUCAAUCACAUGCGCAGCAGGCACUUUGCUUGCUCGUGGAAAAGAUUAGUAGUCAGCCUACACAUGGUGUGUUGCACGUGAUUUGUGCAGAUAAUGGUGGAUAGAGAGUUAAAGCUGUUAAGCCGUAGCUCUGGAGUCUUGGCCAGCAAUAGACAGAAAGGUCGAGGGAACUAUAUUAUUAGCAACAUUGGGAAAGCAAAUGGUGGUUUGCAGCAGUCGCAGAACUGCUCAGAUACUUGGUAUGGAGUCUUAUUUUCUUGAUGAAGAUUUAUAAUAUAUUAUCGAUGGAGGAAACAUUGUUGAUCCAGACAAUAUACCAGCAAAUGCUGAGAAUUUCAAAAAGUGAAAGCAACAAAAUGCAAAGGCUGAGUUUAUUCUAAACAGAAAAGUAUCUCUUGGCCUGUUUUUAUCAUAUUUUGAUCAGCUCAUGAAAUCUAGCAAACUCUUGAUCGAUUAUUCAACAAAUUUUGGAGAAUGACCUUACAAAUACUAUACAAGGCAAUCUUUCUAUAUCAGAGUAUUUUAUGAGGAUUAAAAAUGUAUGUUUGGAAAAUUCUCUUUUAAAUCCAGAAGAAACAAUUUCUUAAGGUCGUAUAUGGGGAAAUAUCAUUCGAGGAUUGAAGUCAGAAUCUAUUCCCUUUAUUACAUCAAUACAAGGGUGGGCUCAACAAUCGUCUUUGGAGGAGUUAGAGAAGCUUCUAUCAUCACAAGUGUCACUAGCUAAGCAAAUGGCUAGUAUUUCUAUCAAAGAAGAUGGAAGUGCUCUUGUAGCAAUAAAGAAAAGCUUUAAGGGAAAAGGAUAUCAACGCAACUCAACUCCAUGUAAAGAGGAAGAAGACUUAUAAUAUCACAGAAAAGAAGAUUUUUAAAUGCUACAGAUGCGGUAAAAUAGGGCAUAUUAAGAAAUUUUGCCGAACCAAGUUAAAUGAAGGUAAUGUUGCUGAAUCAGAAAAAAUUGAAAAGGAAGAAGAUUGAAGAAAGUGCUUUAUGACAGAAACACAAAGUAUAGGUGUCAUGACUAUCAAAAAUUUUGAGAAUGACUGUAUUAUAGAUUCUGGUUAUGGGCAUUUUCUUACUGGAGAUAAAUCUAAAUUUUCCAGCCUUCAAGAAUACAAUGGUUGUGUUGCCAUUCUAACAGCAGAUAACACAGUUCAUCAUGUGGAGAAUAAAGGUACUAUUGUCAUCAACCAAAAGCAUAAAAGAUUCGAUUACACUCGAUGGUGUGUUUCAUGUUUCCAGGUAGGAAGAUUUUUUUUUUUUUCAAUUGCAAAUGUUGUAGAUACUGAAAACUUGUGUUUUUGGCCCAAAAGAUGUGAAGUUUCUUCAAAAUAUCAAGGAGCUUAAGGCAGAUGUUAUUCA